CUUAACUCAUCAAACUAUACCAAAACCGCUAAAGCUACCUCGCUCGCCAUGGAUUAAGAAAAAACAAAGAAGGAUAUAUCAUAGGAACCACAGAAGAAACGUUUCUUUAAAAAAAGUAAAAGCGGCGAUAUCUAGACCCAGCACGAUGAAGUCGACCAGGAUUCAAGCUGUAGCGGCUCCCAAAUCGAGGCAAUCGGAUCGACACUUGAGCAUCAGAUCGAGCACUCGAUAUUAAUCGACGGCCACCACAACCAACCAUCGAAGCA
This 266-nucleotide unclassified non-coding RNA is filed under the name Hevea brasiliensis (rubber tree). Lineage: Eukaryota; Viridiplantae; Streptophyta; Magnoliopsida; Malpighiales; Euphorbiaceae. The record is from RNAcentral.